GACGAACGCUGGCGGCGUGCUUAACACAUGCAAGUCGAACGGAAAGGCCCUGCUUUUGUGGGGUGCUCGAGUGGCGAACGGGUGAGUAACACGUGAGUAACCUGCCCUUGACUUUGGGAUAACUUCAGGAAACUGGGGCUAAUACCGGAUAGGCGCUCCUGCUGCAUGGUGGGGGUUGGAAAGUUUCGGCGGUUGGGGAUGGACUCGCGGCUUAUCAGCUUGUUGGUGGGGUAGUGGCUUACCAAGGCUUUGACGGGUAGCCGGCCUGAGAGGGUGACCGGCCACAUUGGGACUGAGAUACGGCCCAGACUCCUACGGGAGGCAGAAGGGGGGAAUAUUGCACAAUGGGCGGAAGCCGGAUGCAGCAACGCCGCUUGCGGGAGGACGGCCUUCGGGUUGUAAACCGCUUUCGCCGGUGACGAAGCGGGAGUGACGGUAAUGGGUAAAGAAGCACCGGCUAACUACGUG
Molecule: ribosomal RNA, 468 nt
Filed under: uncultured bacterium
Lineage: Bacteria
Description: partial 16S ribosomal RNA
Rfam family: Bacterial small subunit ribosomal RNA
Source: RNAcentral